Long non-coding RNA from Ostrea edulis (European flat oyster), 513 nucleotides. RefSeq lists it as uncharacterized. The record is from RefSeq and is a predicted model, not a curated record. The transcript is spliced from 2 exons. Lineage: Eukaryota; Metazoa; Mollusca; Bivalvia; Ostreida; Ostreidae.
CUUACAGUGAGAGAAGUCAUGUCUAAAAAAUCUCAAAUCUUAAACUCAGUUUCAACUUAAGUUUGAGUUUUUGUCUUAGUUGAGAUUUUGCUCAAAUUGCAUUUCUCAAAACGAUCUUAGUAAAAUCUCAGCUGAGUUAAUCUUAUUGCUCAGCUGAGUUUAUUCCUCACGACACUAAGCGGCCCGUCUGUCAAAAAACGUAACAUCCGCACAGCUGUAUCUUUCGUAAACAAAUCGUCUGCUUGUCUUCUGCCGCGUAUAACGUCAAGAUGGAGGACUUUCCUAAAGCACGGAAACCAAAUUGGACCGAGAGAGAGCGUUUGGCCUUGGUGGAGGCGGUCCGAUGCAGAGAGGACCGCCUUUUCGGUAAAAUGAAGGGGGCAGGGGGAGUGAAGAACUCUCGUGUGAAGGAAUCGGCGUGGGAGGAAGUCGCUCAAUUCGUCAAUGCACAAUCUGAAACCAGUCAAAGGGGGAUUGAAGAGGUGAAGAAGCAGUAUUCAAACCUAAAACAAA